AGUGAACGCUGGCGGUAGGCCUAACACAUGCAAGUCGAACGGCAGCACAGUAAGAGCUUGCUCUUACGGGUGGCGAGUGGCGGACGGGUGAGGAAUACAUCGGAAUCUACUUUUUCGCGGGGAUAACGUAGGGAAACUUACGCUAAUACCGCAUACGACCUACGGGUGAAAGCAGGGGAUCUUCGGACCUUGCGCGAUUGAAUGAGCCGAUGCCGGAUUAGCUAGUUGGCGGGGUAAAGGCCCACCAAGGCGACGAUCCGUAGCUGGUCUGAGAGGAUGAUCAGCCACACUGGAACUGAGACACGGUCCAGACUCCUACGGGAGGCAGCAGUGGGGAAUAUUGGACAAUGGGCGCAAGCCUGAUCCAGCCAUACCGCGUGGGUGAAGAAGGCCUUCGGGUUGUAAAGCCCUUUUGUUGGGAAAGAAAAGCAGCAGGUUAAUACCCCGCUGUUCUGACGGUACCCAAAGAAUAAGCACCGGCUAACUUCGUG
RNAcentral lists this ribosomal RNA (491 nucleotides) under uncultured bacterium. RNAcentral's name for it is "partial 16S ribosomal RNA". It matches the Rfam family "Bacterial small subunit ribosomal RNA", at positions 29 to 507 of the family's 1533-position model. The record is from RNAcentral.